Molecule: long non-coding RNA, 618 nt
Organism: Talpa occidentalis (Iberian mole)
Lineage: Eukaryota; Metazoa; Chordata; Mammalia; Eulipotyphla; Talpidae
Exons: 4
Source: RefSeq, a predicted model, not a curated record
CUUACCACUCUUGAAAAGUGGCAAGGUCUUGGAAGGCAACGAAGGACAGAGAAACUUCACAGACCUGAGGGGACCACGGAAACUUGGUGAUAGAAGGUGGAACCCAGAUGGGGCCCUGGAACAGAAGUAGAAAAGUUGGAGAAAUGCAGACAGGAUCUGCACCUUCCGGGGUGAGGGCUGGGAUGCCUUCCAGGUCAGCCCUCCCUGCUGCCCAGCUCUCCUCAGAGGAAGAACCAGGAGAUGCCUUCGCCCUGGCACCCACCCCGCCAGAGGGCCCUUUUGCUGAGGGCAGAUUUCACACUCACUGGCUCCAAACUGAUGGUGGGAAAUAGGAACAAAAUAUGAACUGCUUUUUUUAUGUAUUGUUUCUUCUGGAGAUGAAAACAUUCUGGAAGCUGACAAGUGAUCCGUGGGGCAUCACCCGGGAAGAGAAGUCACAUCCUGCAACUCCGCCUUGGGACUCUGCUUCCUUAGAAGACGAUCAACCUCACAGGAAUCGAACUUGCAAUCAGCGGGGACUGAGCACGCUGCUUCCAGUACUUGGAUGCCCCAAGGAGAAAUACAGGGCAGCCCCAGGCAGGAUCCCUGCCCUCCAGGAGCUCCCAAGGUAGAGGAAGA